CACUGGCCCUGUUCUGUUUCCUGCCCGCUUACAACAUGACUUGCUUUCUCAUUUGAUCCCGAUUUAAUCCAUAUUACCUGAGCACUUAUGCUCAUAAUCUUAUUGUUUGGCCAUAGUUUUGUCCAGCCUCAGGCCUAUCUUGUAAUUUCCCCCUUUUCCCCACCUUGCACCCACCUCACCUCGUGGUUUUGCUCUAUAAGAAUCUCUAAAAAAGGUAGAGCCCUCAGCAACCCACUCAGGAACUCGUCUCUUUCAGACAGCUUUCCCAAUAAACAUAUUCUGCUCUUAAAAAAACAUAAAGGUGUAUGGGGCCCCAACCCAGCGCCUCACACAUGCCAGGCAAACACUGCACCACUGAGCCACAUCCGCAGCCCCUGCCUAUUCCUUUGAAACUGAAGCAAGACAUGGACUUCUCAGUUUUGGAAAACUCUGGGUGGCAUCUUCUUUCAGUAGGAGCACUUUUCUCUAUGCCAUUGAGGGUGGCGCCUUCGAGUCUCCUAACCGGCUCACCUUCCAGCUUCACGUCCUGGACACGUCUUCUUUCCUUCAACCCACAAACCAGCCCUGUGGCUCCAGACUUCCACAGAUUCCCGCCUCUUCCAGCCCUGAACCUGGAAGUUGUUCUGCCUUAGGGUUUGGCCCGAGGGAACCUGCUGAGUGCUUUGUCCUUCCAUCCAGACCAUAAAAACUUGGUCCCUCAGCCACGGGGCUGUUUCCUUUCUUCUCCUUUCUGUGUCCUGGAGUAGCAGUUUUAAUCUCCUUGAGGAACUUUCCCUGUGCAUUUACAGUUUGGCUCCUGGGUGAAAUAGUCCUAGCUUCUGCUACGUCUCAGCUUUCAACAUCUAUCUCACCAAGCCUAAUAAUUUCUUGCUUUGGAUGUGACGUGACAGGUGUGGGACUCUUCCAUUCACUCGAAUGGAGGCCACCGUAGAUGAUUAAUUCACCUUAUUUCAGGGUUUAUUUUUCUUCUUGUUGUUGUUGUUCCUUGUCGUAGUAAGACCUGAAGUCAGGGAGAGAUGGGGCAGGGCUGGUCAGUGGAGCAGCUGGAACACACAUGUAAGUUUUCUAAUAUGGAUGCAGCCUGUGCACCGCCCCUCAACAAUUGCAAUAUAAAUAGCGUGGAUCAAUGAUCACAGGUCAGAUACCAGGUAAAAUAAUGAUGAAAAGUUCCAAAUAUUUCCAGAAUUGCUGCAGUGAGACACAGAGAUGGAGUGUGCCCGUAGUAUUGGGAAAAUGGCCUUGCUAGGCUUGUUCAAUGCAAAGUUAUAACUUUCAGUUCAUGAAGCAGUGUCAUCUGCAAAGUGCAGUGAGUGCAGUAGAGCAGAGGCCUGUCGGGCGCAGGGCGUGGUCAGCGCGCUGCAGCUCCCGCUCCAGAGUCUGCAGGACCACAGUCUCCAGCUCAGCGCGCAGCAGAGCGUCCUCCGGGCGGAGCUCAGCGCUGCCUGGGCUUUGCUCCCGCGUGUGCCCUCCCUCCCACACCAGCCUCCCCCACUCCACAACACUCGAGCACAUUCCGGUCAGAAGAGGGGAUCCCGGAUGUCAUGGCUGUGUCCAGAUGUCCCCUCAUGUGGUCCCAGGUGGGGUGUCUUCAGAGGGGGCCAGAUCUAGUGUGUGACACUGGGAUGGAUUCAUGGUACAAAGAUAGGCUCAAGGGCACUAGGAUUAAGGGUGUGAGUGCUGCCCGCCCUAGUAGCCAGGAUAGGAUGUAAGGGCAGAAACAGCUGUGGUCGCUCCUUGUUGCUUUGCUACCUUCUGCCCGCCAUGAACUGUUUGUCCCCUGCGAUUCCUGUCCGUCACGCCUCCCUGCCUUGGAGCCGGCUGAUUAUGGACUGAAACCUCUACAAAUUGUGAACCAAAUAAACUCUCCUCCUUUAACUAUGGUUGUCAGUUGGGGGCCACGGGAUAGGAAAUCAUAGUUCACUAUGUUAGGGACCAGACUAUGUAGUCCCAGGCUGGGGUGACUCGCCUCAGGGACAAGGAGUUUGCAGACAGCUGCAUGCCCUCUGGCUGUUGGGAAAGCGCACAUUCACAGCCUCCUGAGACAGGCCUGCAGACCUAGUACAGAACGCAGGCAUCCAGAGAAGGUGGCCUGAGGACAUCACAAGAACCGCAGGACCCCAGUCUGUGCGGCCCAGAGCUGCAAAGGUGAAAGACUGUGCUUUGAGAAGGGCCCCAGGGCACCGUGUUCCAGAAUGGCGGCGGCCUAGAGAGUCUGAUCCUCAGGACUGGGCUCAGAGCCCUCAGCCAUCCAGGCACCGGACCCCGACAGCCAGGAGAGGGAGAAGCCUGGCUACUGCUCCAGCCGGCGGCCAACGGAAGAAGCCGCAGCUCUGAGCCACACGGAGUUCAGACGGGGAUGGAGGCCCCAGUCCGCCUCUGCGGAAAGGGAGCUGUUUGGGAAAAUGACGCAGGUCAGGGCGGGGCUCGGGUCUCCCGGUGCCCUCUCCGGGGCUGGGCGGUCACAGGCGCAGACACCCCCAGAAGCCCUGGCAGGGAGAGGCCGGGCUGCGGAAGUCACCGCGGGAGAAGGGAGCGAGCCGAGCACACGGCGCGGCCCACGGCGCACCCAGGCCCGUCUCGCGCCGGGAAGAACAACGCCGGGUCUGCAGAGCCCGGGGACGCGGCUGCGGGAGGAAUCCGGCCGGGCGGCCCCUCCGGGCCCCACCCGCGCUCCCCGGGCUCGGGAUCCGUCCUCGCGCUCACAGCAGCCGGAGCGCGGCGCGCUUCCCCGGGGAGAGGAGAGGUCCGGGCAGGCCGGCAGCGGCAGGGCCUCCGGCGCUCAGAGAACCGGUCCCGGCCCAGGGAGGUUUCCGACGCGGCUGCAGAGCAGGGGAUCCGGACCGGGAAGCGGAGGGCAGGGGCCCGCGCCUCCUGGAGCUCCGUCCCGCCCCGGCCCUCUGCGCUCCGCACUGAGAGGGCCGGUUGUCGCCGCCAGGGCGUCCGCGGGGACCCUGGACAUGUCGUGCGUGGGCGUGGAGUCCCGUCCUCAGCCCCGAUGCUCCGCCCCUUCCUCCCCGCCCCUUCCGCUCCGUCCCGCGCCGGCCCCGCCCCUUCCGCUCCUUCCCGGCUCCGGCUCCUCCCGGCCGCGGCGUCCCGGUCGCAGCCAGGACCUGAGUGUUUCCCCGCCGCCCAGGGCGGUGAGCGGCGGCCGCCGGGUCACGCGGCGCUGGGAUCGGCGUGGGGCGUGGAGCCGCCUCGGGGUCCUGCGGCCUCCCCAGGGCUGCGCAGUUACCCGCCCUGGGUCGGCCGGGACCUGGACCGAGAGCAGCAGGUGGAGGAUUCAAGGCACCGGAACUCACUCCGUUGGGCUGGGGAGAUCGUGUCGGGGUCCUUCCGUGGGGACUUGAGAGCCGAAUACUCCGUGAAUCUGAUUGGCUCCUCGGGGAACCAACACCCAAUGGGAUGCAGCACUGCCGUGGCGUCAUCAGUGUCCAGGCAGAGAGUGUUUACCCAAGUUGUAAGGGAGAAGUGAAACUCCGGGGAGGUGGGGACUGACCCGCGGGGUUUCCCACCCCAGACCACGCCCUGGGCGGAGACCAGGAGAGCCGGGUGGGGACCCGGAACUGUGCUCUGGUCACUCACCUCCUGCGCCGCACUCUUUGUCACAGUUUCCUCAUUUCCGUGGAGGAAGUGGCUGGCUAGAUCAGCUGCUGUCAGAGGGUUUUGUGUUUUUUUCUUGUUUCUUUUUGUUGGUGUUUUUUUGGGGGGGGUCUCAGUAUGUAGUUCAGUCUGGCUUGAACUCACUGUGUAGCCCGGAGUGGCCUGGACGGUGUGUCGAUCCUCCUGCUUCAGCCUCCCGAGUUCUGGGAUUACAGCCAUGCACCACCAAACCCAGUUUAAACUUUUUGGUUGGGAGCUUGCUUCGGCAGCACACCUACUAAAAUUGGAACGAUACGGAAAAGAUUAGCAUGGCCUCUGCCCAAGUUUGACACUCAAGUUUGUGAAGCUUUCUAUAUUUUUUUUUUAAAAAAAAAAGAGUAAAUAAAUAAACUUUUUGGUUGGUUUCAAGAUGUUCAUGUGCUGUUAGGAAUUACUGAGGAUCUCAAAGACAGAAACUGACUGUAUACCCACAAAGCCAAGCUGUCACUCAUCACCUUAAGCAGAAACUUAGAGCUCAGCAAAACCAGCCAGGACAGGGGGCGCCAGGCUGAGACAGAAUGAGGCUCCUUGCUGGGAUCUGGAAUGAAGAACAGGCUCUGACCUGGCUCCACACCAUUACUCACACGGAGAUGGUUCCCCUCCCUGCCCUUUCCUCAUCUCUGUGACUUCUACCACCCAGCAGUGCCGCUAACCACAAGUGUUUCUGGACAGAAAGAACACUGUGCUGACCCCGGACAGGAGCCCCCGUCUCUGAGCUUCCCCUCCCGCGCCCUGUGUGCUAGUGCGGCUCUGAGCCUGGGCUGCAGGGCUGGAGAGGCGGCAUCGUGCAGUGAACGGAUGCACAGAAUCCACAACCAAAACAAAACCAGGAGGGGUGGGUCCCGGGUGAACAGUGCACAGGCUGUGUGACCUGCAGCUAUUCAUUAACCUUUGUGACUAUCCACUUCCUUAUCAUAAAGUAUGUGUAAUAAAAUGCAUACUGAAUGCAUCCUUGUUAGGAAGGUAUGAAA
Molecule: RNA transcript, 4610 nt
Organism: Chinchilla lanigera (long-tailed chinchilla)
Lineage: Eukaryota; Metazoa; Chordata; Mammalia; Rodentia; Chinchillidae
Gene name: translation initiation factor IF-2-like
Exons: 3
Source: RefSeq, a predicted model, not a curated record